UUUUGUGGAAAGCUUUUUCUAAGAAUACCAUGCUGAUGAGACUCCAAAGAAUCUUCCUGAAUGUUAAAUUGUACAAAAUCCUUAUGCCAUUGCUUAACUGAGUUGAGUACAGAUCAGAAGAAAAAAAUUUAUUUUAUGUCACCAAUGACAUUGCUGCCCUUAACCAUUUAAAAGCCACAUAAAUGGUUUAUCAGACUUCAGUGAAUAAUGAAGGCAUGGAGACAGGCUUAUCUUUAAAUGCCAUCUGGAAUAUGGAAGAAUGUUCUUUAACCAUCUACCUGCAGUGUAGAAAUUGUAUCAAACAGUCUCUAUUCCUGUGUCCUUUAAUUGGUGCUGAAAUGAGUGACCCUAGAAACCUUGCUGAAUCAAGGCCUAAUCAGGAUGAAAUAUACAUUGGAGACAAAGACAUGAGCCAAAGAUCAGCCUUGUAAGAUAAGGAUCGGAUUUCCA
Molecule: non-coding RNA, 450 nt
Organism: Delphinapterus leucas (beluga whale)
Lineage: Eukaryota; Metazoa; Chordata; Mammalia; Artiodactyla; Monodontidae
Source: RefSeq, a predicted model, not a curated record